Molecule: ribosomal RNA, 517 nt
Filed under: uncultured bacterium
Lineage: Bacteria
Description: bacterial SSU rRNA
Rfam family: Bacterial small subunit ribosomal RNA
Source: RNAcentral
AACAGGAUUAGAUACCCUGGUAGUCCACGCCGUAAACGAUGUCGACUUGGAGGUUGUUCCCUUGAGGAGUGGCUUCCGGAGCUAACGCGUUAAGUCGACCGCCUGGGGAGUACGGCCGCAAGGUUAAAACUCAAAUGAAUUGACGGGGGCCCGCACAAGCGGUGGAGCAUGUGGUUUAAUUCGAUGCAACGCGAAGAACCUUACCUACUCUUGACAUCCAGAGAACUUAGCAGAGAUGCUUUGGUGCCUUCGGGAACUCUGAGACAGGUGCUGCAUGGCUGUCGUCAGCUCGUGUUGUGAAAUGUUGGGUUAAGUCCCGCAACGAGCGCAACCCUUAUCCUUUGUUGCCAGCGAUUCGGUCGGGAACUCAAAGGAGACUGCCGGUGAUAAACCGGAGGAAGGUGGGGAUGACGUCAAGUCAUCAUGGCCCUUACGAGUAGGGCUACACACGUGCUACAAUGGCGCAUACAAAGAGAAGCGACCUCGCGAGAGCAAGCGGACCUCAUAAAGUGCGUCG